AGAGGGAACCUGGUGAGAAUCCGGGACUGUCCCGCAGCGGUAUGCAGGAACGACCGCCGUCUUGGAAGUAGACAAGCACUGGUCUCAACGACUGGGAAGCGACGGCCAGUAGGAGCACCCACCGGGUGCGAGCCUGCGAGUCCGAAGACCU
This 151-nucleotide unclassified non-coding RNA is filed under the name Mycobacterium tuberculosis. The record is from RNAcentral. Lineage: Bacteria; Bacillati; Actinomycetota; Actinomycetes; Mycobacteriales; Mycobacteriaceae.